This 313-nucleotide unclassified non-coding RNA is filed under the name fungal sp. RNAcentral's name for it is "partial internal transcribed spacer region". The stretch from base 1 to 46 matches the Rfam family "Eukaryotic small subunit ribosomal RNA", at positions 1786 to 1831 of the family's 1831-position model. Lineage: Eukaryota; Fungi. The record is from RNAcentral.
AAGUCGUAACAAGGUCUCCGUAGGUGAACCUGCGGAGGGAUCAUCAAAGAAAAUAUAUAUAACACAAACUCCAAGUGUUAAAGAGAGAGGGGGGGGAAAUGUAUAUAGUGUUUGUUGGUCAUAUAUUAUGACUGACUAUAAUGCUGUUUCCUUCCUUCUUUCCUUCUCUCUUUAAUGCUUCAAACAAACGAUCACAACUAAAAAAGAAACAAAUUGGCUUGGUUACUACAUAUAAUGUUUGCCUGAUAAUCUGAUGAUUGGAAUUGGGGAAUAUAACAAAUACAACUUUCAACAACGGAUCUCUUGGCUCUCA